Molecule: long non-coding RNA, 2701 nt
Organism: Melospiza melodia melodia
Lineage: Eukaryota; Metazoa; Chordata; Aves; Passeriformes; Passerellidae
Exons: 4
Source: RefSeq, a predicted model, not a curated record
AUUCAGAGCUUGCGUUCUGUGGGUUGUAUGAUAAAGCUGUAAAACAUGUAAGAAUGGUUUUGCAAGUCUGAAUCGUUGAAGGCAGCAAUAAGUGGAUUUAGAGCCUGUUCUUGAGCAGACAAAGGGAAAAAGUGUGACUCUGAUGCUGAACUUGUCAUUUUUCAUUUGACUUGUCUUGAAUGAUUUAGGAAUAGAGAGAACUAGAAAAAGAGAGAAAUAGAAUCGAUUAUUGAGCAGUCCUCAAAUGCUCACCAUAAUUCAGUGUAGAGCCAAAGGGAAGGGUGAUGGAACAGAGCUCUGUGCUUUGGAAGGAAAUAAAUUUAAACCUGAUCUCCGCACAGAGUCUCACUAACUUCUGUGGUUUUAAAAUACAAAAUACGUUUAGGAAGUGUUGGAAGUUAGUAUUUUGGGAAAGAAACGGCAGUUCCACAGAACAUUCCAUUUCACAGAGGCUCUAGGAAGGAUUCAUGUUGUAACUGCUGUCACUGCAAUCAGUUGGUGGUUCAGCCUUGAAACGUGCACUUGGCCUUCUAUAAAGCGCUGUUUUGUUUGCCUUUCAUUGCUAUGAGUCUUGAUAAAUUGGAGAAGAGCCCAAGAGAAAUUUUUCAUCCCUUGAUAUAAAAGGGAUCGGUGAAUUUUAACUUUGGAGUCCUCUAUGCUAAGGAUGCUCAGCUUACAGAUGAUGAAAUGUUCAGUAAUGGUGAGUUUUUCACGUUCUCUUUAAUUGCUGUGCUGAUCUGAAUAAGAAAAAAACAAAAGCAAGAGGGAAAAAAAAGGAUGGUUUAUUAUUUUUUACGCUGUUAUGUUUGUUUCCUCAGUAUUUGCUGCAGCUCUGCUUACCCAAGCUUUGUGUUCCUUCUGUCCCACUGGGAGUUGCCCAGUUUGGUUGCAUCUGGUGAAAUUCACCCUGAGACCUUACACAACUAGCUCAAACUACGUGAGAGCCAUUUGCAGUUCUCUCCAGACACCUGGAGAAUGGGUGACGUUUCUGAGGGUCUGGCAAGUGUACUUCUAUCAAAACUCAGUCUGUGAAGUUUCUGGGGAAAACCCUUCUGUGUCCUGAAGGGUUCAAACUCCUGUGAGGAUCCAUUUAUCAGGUGCUCACCUGGAUGGUUCCAGCUCUUAAAGUGAACACUUGUACUCUUACCCUGUAGUUUACAUCUAUUGUAUUUUUGUUAUUUUGCAAGAUUUUUUGUCUUUGCAAAAUAUUGUGCAUUUCACUCUUUGGAACCUCUCAGAUGGUUCUUUGGUGCAGCACCACCCCAUGGGACACUUGGCUGCUGUCCUGAAGGGGAUGGUCGCUAGAAUUGUAAAUUCUGGAGAGUUUAUAAGUCUUCUGUCCCCAGGGAGGUACCAUGCUUUGUUUACUUUUGUUCUGUUUGUUAGGCGCUGCUUCUCGUUGCAAGUAUGAAUUUCAAACUGCCCUGUUCUUAUUUUAACUGUUUUCCUGGUUCUCUCCGUCCGACAGGGAAAGACUCUCAUAUCCUCGUCGUCGGGCUCGGUGCUGUCCAAGAAGAUACAGAGACUAAAAAAAUCAUAAGCAGCAAAAUAUGACUGCAGGGAAAAGAAGCUGGAGAGAACAGAAGGCUGCCAUUUGUGUGCCAUCGGUACUCACCAUGGAAGCGAGCUGGGGAUUGUUGCACCCGUUGGGAACAAACCGCUUCUUGUCACACAGAAAUGGAAUUGGGACGACGCCUCGGCCAGCCCCUCUCUGCCAUCGUCUCCUGAAUCUGCAGCAGAGCAGUUCCAGUCCAUCCGGGCACGUGCAAUCCAGUUCCUGAUGAUCUGAGCACACGGAGCAGCGCUCAGCUGCUGUGGGGGGCUCAGGGAAGGCAGUGUGUGCAUUGUCAUCUUCCUGAACCUACAGACAAAUCAAAACCCUCAGUGAGCAGAAUUUGUUGCAGACUCAGUGCACGCUGUGCCGGCCUCCCGGGAGUGUGAGGAGCUCAUGUGUGCUACUUUUUGCUUUAGGACGCUCUGAGGUAUUUAUUCCUUUUGGGAUACGUGAUGAGAAUUCCCAAGAGAGGUAGUUAUAAGGUAUGACAUUGGGAAAAAGCCUGUGUGGUUGGAAUGUUGUUGCUGUCAAAAGUUAAUUUUUCCUUCAUUCUUAGCCAGUAGUUAGCUUUUUGCUUUAUUUUUGUGGUAUCAGUAUUUUAUUGUUUAAAAAAUUCCUUCAAAAUAACUUCAGUGGUCGCCCACCAGUACCUUGUUCAGAUUUGCCUAUUUGCUUGUAGCUGAAAUGUUCACAUCUUGAUUAUCAUUCUAUUUAAGAAACUGCUGCCCAGCCAACUAAUAACUGAAUAUCCAUCUGUCUAGGACACGGGGAGAGGAUUUAGGUAAUGUCUUUGUUUCCAGAAAAAAGUUCCAGUGUACUUUCUAAACAGAGGAGAAGGGGGUGAAGACUCUGGGCUCUGAUGCCGUUGGGGCACCCCAAGGUCCCCAGGAGAGGGAGCCCCACUGCGGUGCAGGAGCAGGUGUGUUCUCAUCUAAUAUUGAACAAAUUAUAAAUAUGAAAAUUAUAAACAUGAAAAUAUUUUUAAAAUACUUAAAUAAAGCAGGUUUUCUUUAUUGGUCAAUAGGCAGGGUUUUGAUUGUAAAAAUUAUAAAUACAAAUAAUAUAAAGGUAGAAAUCUAAGUUUAGAAAUAUAUAAUAAAUACAUACAGAUAAAUAUAAAAAUUAAAAAUAUAAGAAAAAAUUAGU